UCCCUGGAGGACUAGUGGUUAGGCCACAGGGCGCUCACUGCUGCAGCCCGGGUUCGACCCCCAGGCAGGGAA
Non-coding RNA from Pangasianodon gigas (Mekong giant catfish), 72 nucleotides. The record is from the annotation of a GenBank genome assembly. Lineage: Eukaryota; Metazoa; Chordata; Actinopteri; Siluriformes; Pangasiidae.